GCAUCGGUGGUUCAGUGGUAGAAUGCUCGCCUGCCACGCGGGCGGGCCGGGAAUCGACCCCGGGUUCGAUCCCCGGCCGAUGCA
Non-coding RNA from Cordylochernes scorpioides, 84 nucleotides. Lineage: Eukaryota; Metazoa; Arthropoda; Arachnida; Pseudoscorpiones; Chernetidae. The record is from the annotation of a GenBank genome assembly.